RNAcentral lists this ribosomal RNA (411 nucleotides) under bacterium enrichment culture clone ALO1_GLFRUDD03G6EOK. RNAcentral's name for it is "bacterial SSU rRNA". It matches the Rfam family "Bacterial small subunit ribosomal RNA", at positions 9 to 420 of the family's 1533-position model. The record is from RNAcentral.
GAGUUUGAUCCUGGCUCAGAUUGAACGCUGGCGGCAUGCCUUACACAUGCAGGUCGAACGGCAGCACGGGAGCUUGCUCCUGGUGGCGAGUGGCGAACGGGUGAGUAAUGCAUCGGAACGUAUCCUGGAGUGGGGGAUAACGUAGCGAAAGUUACGCUAAUACCGCAUAUUCUGUGAGCAGGAAAGCGGGGGACCUUCGGGCCUCGCGCUCUUGGAGCGGCCGAUGUCGGAUUAGCUAGUUGGUGAGGUAAAGGCUCACCAAGGCGACGAUCCGUAGCAGGUCUGAGAGGAUGAUCUGCCACACUGGAACUGAGACACGGUCCAGACUCCUACGGGAGGCAGCAGUGGGGAAUUUUGGACAAUGGGGGCAACCCUGAUCCAGCCAUGCCGCGUGAGUGAAGAAGGCCUCGG